UUUUUGAGAAUAAUUUAAAGUCAAAUCUGCCCACUGAAUUUAUUUAAAGGGCUGCAGUAAUUUGACUGUACAAAGGUAGCAUAAUCAUUAGUCUUUUAAUUGGAGACUUGUAUGAAAGAUUUAAUGAGAUAUAAACUGUCUCUUUUUUAUAAUUAGAACUUAAUUUUUUAGUAAAAAAGCUAAAAUUUAUUUAAAAGACGAGAAGACCCUAUAGAGUUUUAUUAUUAAUAUAAUUAUAAUUUUUUAUUAAAUUUUAAUAAAAAUUUAUUUAAUAAUUUUAUUGGGGUGAUAGAAAAAUUUAAUAAACUUUUUUUAAAAGAAAAAUUAACAUUAAUUUAUGAUAUAAUGAUCCAUAAUUUAUGAUUAUAAGAAAAAAUUACCUUAGGGAUAACAGCGUAAUUUUUUUUUUUAGAUCUUAUAAAAAAAAAAGUUUGCGACCUCGAUGUUGGAUUAAGAUAAAAUU
This 463-nucleotide ribosomal RNA is filed under the name Ampittia dioscorides. Its description in RNAcentral is "partial 16S ribosomal RNA". The stretch from base 1 to 143 matches the Rfam family "Eukaryotic large subunit ribosomal RNA", at positions 2172 to 2346 of the family's 3401-position model. Lineage: Eukaryota; Metazoa; Arthropoda; Insecta; Lepidoptera; Hesperiidae. The record is from RNAcentral.